GAUCCUAGCUCAGGAUGAACGCUAGCUACAGGCUUAACACAUGCAAGUCGAGGGGAAACGACAUCGAAAGCUUGCUUUUGAUGGGCGUCGACCGGCGCACGGGUGAGUAACGCGUAUCCAACCCGCCCACCACUUGGGGAUAACCUUGCGAAAGUAAGACUAAUACCCAAUGAUAUCUCUAGAAGACAUCUGAAAGGGAUUAAAGAUUUAUCGGUGAUGGAUGGGGAUGCGUCUGAUUAG
Molecule: ribosomal RNA, 240 nt
Filed under: uncultured bacterium
Lineage: Bacteria
Description: partial 16S ribosomal RNA
Rfam family: Bacterial small subunit ribosomal RNA
Source: RNAcentral